UCUUCUACAAUGGGCGCAAGCCUGAUGGAGCAACGCCGCGUGUGUGAUGAAGGGUUUCGGCUCGUAAAGCACUGUUGUAAGAGAAGAAUGUACUUGAGAGUAACUGUUCAAGUAGUGACGGUAUCUUACCAGAAAGGGACGGCUAAAUACGUGCGGGCAGCCGCGGUAAUACGUAUGUCCCAAUCGUUAUCCGGAUUUAUUGGGCGUAAAGCGAGCGCAGACGGUUAUUUAAGUCUGAAGUGAAAGCCCUCAGCUCAACUGAGGAAGUGCUCUGGAAACUGGAUGACUUGAGUGCAGUAGAGGAAAGUGGAACUCCAUGUGUAGCGGUGAAAUGCGUAGAUAUAUGGAAGAACACCAGUGGCGAAGGCGGCUUUCUGGACUGUAACUGACGUUGAGGCUCGAAAGUGUGGGUAGCAAACAG
Molecule: ribosomal RNA, 421 nt
Filed under: uncultured bacterium
Lineage: Bacteria
Description: bacterial SSU rRNA
Rfam family: Bacterial small subunit ribosomal RNA
Source: RNAcentral